RNAcentral lists this ribosomal RNA (252 nucleotides) under uncultured bacterium. Its description in RNAcentral is "partial 16S ribosomal RNA". It matches the Rfam family "Bacterial small subunit ribosomal RNA", at positions 525 to 776 of the family's 1533-position model. The record is from RNAcentral.
ACGGAGGGCGCAAGCGUUACUCGGAAUCACUGGGCGUAAAGAGCGUGUAGGCGGGAAUAUAAGUCAGAAGUGAAAUCCUAUAGCUUAACUAUAGAACUGCUUUUGAAACUGUAUACCUAGAAUGUGGGAGAGGUAGAUGGAAUUUCUGGUGUAGGGGUAAAAUCCGUAGAGAUCAGAAGGAAUACCGAUUGCGAAGGCGAUCUACUGGAACAUAAUUGACGCUGAGACGCGAAAGCGUGGGGAGCAAACAGG